CCUACGGGUGGCAGCAGUGAGGAAUAUUGGUCAAUGGGCGGAAGCCUGAACCAGCCAAGUAGCGUGAGGGAUGAAGGCCCUACGGAUCGUAAACCGCUUUUGCCGGGGAAUAACACCCGCCACUUGUGGAGGACUGCAAGUACCGUGCGAAUAAGGGCCGGCUAAUUCCGUGCCAGCAGCCGCGGUAAUACGGAGGGUGCGAGCGUUAUCCGGAUUGAUUGGGCUUAAAGGGUGCGUAGGCGGGCGUUAAAGUCAGCGGUAAAAUGGCGCGGCUCAACCGCGCCCCGCCGUUGAAACUGGCUGCCUAGAGUGCACGACAGGGAGGCGGAAUGCGUGGUGUAGCGGUGAAAUGCAUAGAUAUCACGAGGAACCCCGAUUGCGAAGGCAGCCUGCCGGCGUGCGACUGACGCUGAGGCUCGAAGGUGCGGGUAUCAAACAGGAUUAGAUACCCGAGUAGUC
Molecule: ribosomal RNA, 459 nt
Filed under: uncultured bacterium
Lineage: Bacteria
Description: partial 16S ribosomal RNA
Rfam family: Bacterial small subunit ribosomal RNA
Source: RNAcentral